RNAcentral lists this ribosomal RNA (397 nucleotides) under uncultured bacterium. RNAcentral's name for it is "bacterial SSU rRNA". It matches the Rfam family "Bacterial small subunit ribosomal RNA", at positions 28 to 429 of the family's 1533-position model. The record is from RNAcentral.
GAUGAACGCUGGCGGAAUGCUUUACACAUGCAAGUCGAGCGGCAGCGCGGGGGCAACCCUGGCGGCGAGCGGCGAACGGGUGAGUAACAUAUCGGAACGUACCCAGUCGUGGGGGAUAACUAUCCGAAAGGAUAGCUAAUACCGCAUACGUCCUGAGGGAGAAAGCGGGGGAUCGCAAGACCUCGCGCGAUUGGAGCGGCCGAUAUCGGAUUAGCUAGUUGGUGGGGUAAAGGCUCACCAAGGCGACGAUCCGUAGCGGGUCUGAGAGGAUGAUCCGCCACACUGGAACUGAGACACGGUCCAGACUCCUACGGGAGGCAGCAGUGGGGAAUUUUGGACAAUGGGCGCAAGCCUGAUCCAGCCAUGCCGCGUGAGUGAAGAAGGCCUCGGUUGUAAG